AAUCCAUGAUGCGGGUCAUUGGCAUUGAAGGUCUUUGAAUCUCUCCAACGCUUCGUAUAGUGUCUCAUCUUCCUUCAUUCAAAAAUUGGAUAUUUCUUUCCUCAACCU
This 108-nucleotide small nucleolar RNA is filed under the name Jatropha curcas. RNAcentral's name for it is "Plant small nucleolar RNA R71". It matches the Rfam family "Plant small nucleolar RNA R71". Rfam says of the family: R71 is a member of the C/D box family of snoRNAs containing the C (UGAUGA) and D (CUGA) box motifs. Multiple nearly identical copies of this snoRNA have been identified in Arabidopsis, and it is thought to function as a 2'-O-ribose methylation guide for 18S ribosomal RNA. The record is from Rfam by way of RNAcentral. Lineage: Eukaryota; Viridiplantae; Streptophyta; Magnoliopsida; Malpighiales; Euphorbiaceae.